AGUGGCGCACGGGUGCGUAACACGUAUGCAACCUACCUUUUACUGGGGAAUAGCCUCUCGAAAGAGAGAUUAAUACCCCAUGACAUGUUUUGAAGGCAUCUUCAGAACCUUAAAGCUCCGGCGGUAAAAGAUGGGCAUGCGGUUGAUUAGCUAGUUGGUGAGGUAAUGGCUCACCAAGGCUUCGAUCAAUAGGGGGUCUGAGAGGAUGUCCCCCCACACUGGUACUGAGACACGGACCAGACUCCUACGGGAGGCGGCAGUAGGGAAUAUUGGACAAUGGGCGCAAGCCUGAUCCAGCCAUGCCGCGUGCAGGAUGAAGGCCCUAUGGGUCGUAAACUGCUUUUGUACGGGAAGAAACCUUACUACGUGUAGUGAGUUGACGGUACCGUGAGAAUAAGGAUCGGCUAACUUCGUGCCAGCAGCCGCGGUAAUACGAAGGAUCCAAGCGUUGUCCGGAUUUACUGGGUUUAAAGGGUGCGUAGGCGGACUUUUAAGUCAGUGGUGAAAGCUUGCGGCUUAACUGUAAAAUUGCCAUUGAAACUGAAAGUCUCGAGUGUGGUUGAGGUAACUGGAAUAUAUCAUGUAGCGGUGAAAUGCUUAGAUAUGAUAUAGAACACCAAUUGCGAAGGCAGGUUACUGAGCCACAACUGACGCUGAGGCACGAAAGCGUGGGGAUCAAACAGGAUUAGAUACCCUGGUAGUCCACGCCGU
RNAcentral lists this ribosomal RNA (711 nucleotides) under uncultured Sphingobacteriia bacterium. RNAcentral's name for it is "bacterial SSU rRNA". It matches the Rfam family "Bacterial small subunit ribosomal RNA", at positions 94 to 803 of the family's 1533-position model. Lineage: Bacteria; Pseudomonadati; Bacteroidota; Sphingobacteriia. The record is from RNAcentral.